RNAcentral lists this unclassified non-coding RNA (361 nucleotides) under fungal sp. RNAcentral describes it as "partial internal transcribed spacer region". The record is from RNAcentral. Lineage: Eukaryota; Fungi.
AAGGUUUCCGUAGGCUGCGGAAGGAUCAUUAACAUGACACUUUCAGACACUAACUGCUUCACUUGCUUCGCACAACAUGCACGCUCCUUGCAGACAUCUCUGAAUCGAAAACUGUUCGGCGAUGAUUUACCAGGGAUUGCUGCUUUUUCUACGGACGUACGAGUACAGGUGAAGGUUCACAGGGGGGUUUAACGUUCGGAUGUAAGGAUGACGCAAUCACGAUCGUUGGAGGCCCACACGGCCGACGACCGGGUCACUGGGCGCAAGCCCCCCUAGAAAACAAACGCUGCUAAUCGCGGCCGCGAUAAUACGCAGUCGACCAAAAACCGAACAACUGUUAACAAUGGAUAUCUUGGUUCUC